UUAUACUAAGGAUUCCAGCAGGAUGAUUUCUGUGGCUGAGAGACACCACAUUGCCUACAGACCCUGCUGCAUUUAACCAGUGGCAAAAUCAAGGGUUGCAGAGUGCACUCUUAAAAAUAUUGGAUCCAGCCUGUGACAGCCAGAGGAAAAACAGGAGCAGACAAUGAGGUCUGUGGUGUCAAGACAGGCAUGUAAAAGAAUGAGGGGAAGCAGAGAGAUCUCUGAGAUUUUCAGAGAGACUCGGUCAUCAGCUGAACUCUGGUUUUGAAGACGAAGACAUUUCACCAUUGCCCCAAAGUCCUACGUAAUUCACCCUGGUGGGAGGAACACUGGUGACAGGACCUGACUUCCGUAAGCUCUGGCCCCUGCUCGUGUAUUCAGCCUACUACUG
Molecule: long non-coding RNA, 391 nt
Filed under: Dromaius novaehollandiae (emu)
Lineage: Eukaryota; Metazoa; Chordata; Aves; Casuariiformes; Dromaiidae
Description: lncRNA (ENSDNVG00000012099.1)
Source: RNAcentral